AGGACAAGCUGUGAAAUGCCUAGAUUCCAGAGCAACAGACUGUGAUCCAUUCCCAACAACCCCUCCCUACCGUCUGCCACCAGUUCCCUUAAAGCAGGAAUCAGAGCUAGACUGACUCAACUAAGGUAAGAACUUGACAUAGCAUCGAUGAGCCCAAGUCAACUAUAUGAACAAAACAAUGUCUCAGGAGGGGCAGGGUAUCACGUCAGAAGAAUCCUGAGUCCUUAGAUGACCUUGUAGAAAAGAGCCACAAACUUACUCUGGGCUACCUUCAUACCUCUGAACUAUUAUGCAGAGAGAAAUAAAUGUAUUCAAAUCACUGUU
Molecule: long non-coding RNA, 324 nt
Filed under: Homo sapiens (human)
Lineage: Eukaryota; Metazoa; Chordata; Mammalia; Primates; Hominidae
Description: HSALNT0364279
Source: RNAcentral